UUUAAAUGUAACCAUGAGUUUCCAUAUCCAAAUUUAAUUGUCCGUCUUAUUUAAAUUUUUUUAAAAAAAUUAAAAAAACAUAAGCCACGCUUAAAGUGCUAGUCAUUUUUUAUCAUCUAAUAACAAUAAAAAUAUUAAUCAUAAUUUUUUUAUAUAAAACGAACUAUUAAAGUUGGACAUGGAAAAUCAUUGGCUGACGUUUAA
Molecule: microRNA precursor, 204 nt
Organism: Oryza sativa Japonica Group (Japanese rice)
Lineage: Eukaryota; Viridiplantae; Streptophyta; Magnoliopsida; Poales; Poaceae
Rfam family: MIR812 microRNA precursor family
Source: Rfam